UCUUCUUCCACAUUAGCUUCCAUCAUAACUCUUAUCUCUCUAUCUUUCUCGGGAACAUAUAAUAAUCUUUCUAACUCUCUUGAAAAAUGAAAUACUCUUGGUGUUUUGUCUCAUCCAUUCUCGUGAUUUCUUUCAUGCUUUUCUUUGCCACAGAGAUGGAUCUGGUGGAAGCAAAAACUCACGAGGAAAAAAGCAAGACUUACAGACGUUUAUGCGUGGACGAAACAGGAUGCAACCAUGCAUGCAUUUUUAAUGAGCAUUUCGCAGGAGGUCAUUGCCGACACUUAGAAUGUUUCUGUUUUCGCUAAUACUUAUGAUGUAAUUCUUCAUCAUGUUAAUUACUCUAAAAACAUAUAAUAUUCUAUCUUAUCUCUUAUAUCCUUGUUAACUGGUUAUUGAGAAUAUAUGUUUGGUUAAUGAUA
Long non-coding RNA from Brassica oleracea var. oleracea, 422 nucleotides. RefSeq lists it as uncharacterized. Lineage: Eukaryota; Viridiplantae; Streptophyta; Magnoliopsida; Brassicales; Brassicaceae. The transcript is spliced from 2 exons. The record is from RefSeq and is a predicted model, not a curated record.